RNAcentral lists this ribosomal RNA (268 nucleotides) under uncultured bacterium. RNAcentral's name for it is "partial 16S ribosomal RNA". It matches the Rfam family "Bacterial small subunit ribosomal RNA", at positions 524 to 787 of the family's 1533-position model. The record is from RNAcentral.
UACGUAGGGUGCAAGCGUUAAUCGGAAUUACUGGGCGUAAAGCGUGCGCAGGCGGUUUUGUAAGUCUGUCGUGAAAUCCCCGGGCUCAACCUGGGAAUUGCGAUGGAGACUGCAAGGCUAGAAUCUGGCAGAGGGGGGUAGAAUUCCACGUGUAGCAGUGAAAUGCGUAGAGAUGUGGAGGAACACCGAUGGCGAAGGCAGCCCCCUGGGUCAAGAUUGACGCUACAUGCACGAAAGGCGUGGGGAGCCAAACGAGGAUUACGAAACC